GAGAAAGCUUUGUGAGAAAGGCGUGUUUGCGCGCUGAACUCCCGACUCCCGAGGCAUCGUGCAACUAGUUUUUCCGGCGCCGAAGGAGCUUUUAUCAAGCGUGACUUUCCACCCACCCUUCUUCGCAGUGUUACGGGCACACGGUCACCGCUGAGCUGCGGGUGUAGCCCGAAGGACUUGAGACCUCGUGUUCUGAGGGAGGACAGAGCUCACCGUCUCCAGCUGAGGAAGAGUAAGGUCAGCCGUGGUGAGUUAUACUCACAGAGGAGUUGUAAUUUUCGACCUGUCUUAAGAUGAUCAUAUACUUCACCUGAAGAAUAAAGUAGAAACAGACUACAAAAGACAGGGACCACUUUAAUCUCAAGGCAAAAAUGAGGUUUGGAUUAAAAUGACCAUGAAGUGUAAUUAUUAGCAACUGUGAGAGAUGUCACCCAGAAGAUGAGAAGGAUAUAGAGAGGCAAGCUGUUCUUUUCUUCAUGAAGGAUGCAGAGGAGUAUCCAAGGUGGCCCUGUCAUGCUCCUGCCUACCCACCUCACCAUGGUUUGUUUCUCCAUCCUGAAUUUCUGUGUUCCUCAAGGACAGUGACUCCCACAAGCCAAGGAGCAUUUGGAUGUAUGAGUGAUAUAUUCUCUGGCCUCUCCCUGGUUGUAUAGGUAAGUCUGGCUGAACUGCGGACCUAUACCACAGCCACAGUAACGUGGGAUCCAAGCCUCCAAGCCUUGUCUGCUGCCUAUGCCACAGCUCAUGGCAAUGCUGGAUCCUUAACUCACUGAGCAAGGCCAGGGAUCAAAUCCGUGUCCUCAUGGAUACUAGUCAGGUUUGUUACCACUAAGCCCCAAUGGGAACUCCAAGAACCUUCAAACUUUAAUUGGAAACGUUUAGACCAUUUACAUCUAGUGAAAUUGUGAUCCUCAAAUAUUUUCUUCUUGCUUUCUUUUGGAUUAACCAAUUAUUUUUAUCAUUCUAUUUUCCUUUUCUUAGCUUAUUGAAUGUAUUUUUUUGUUGUUCCUUUAGGUAACCUAGAUAUUAUGAAAAGCAUCUUGAUUUAUUAGAGUCCAACAUAAGUUAGCAAUUUUAACACAUUUCAGUCAAGGAACCCAAAAAUAAUUUAAAUCUAUUUACUAUCCUUUUACCUUUUUAUUAUUAUUUCUCUGUAUUUUCAAUUGAUAAUAUAUUUUAAACUUCACAAGCUGUUACUGUCAUUGCUUUAAAUAUUUAUAUCAUUUAAAUUUACCUUCUUACUCUUGCUGGAACCCUUUAUUCUCUGAUGCAUUACUGUUCCUCCAUCUAAGAUCAUUUUCCUGUUGCUUGUAGAAAUCUUUUUGGAAAAAGUUCUUUCUUUCUGUGUGAGCCUGUUGACAGUGAGUUCUGUCAGUUUAUAUUUAUUUGAAAAUUUUCUAUUUUUCAUUCCAAAUUUCUUUUCUUUUAAAGAAUAUUUUUAAAGAUAAAAGUUAUAUUUGGGGUGAAUAUUUUUACUGAUUUUAGGAUUUUUUUUCUUUCAGCUUAAUUGCAACAUAAUUAUUAUAUAGCACUGUAUAAGUUUAAGGUGUAUGGCAUAUACAUCAUUUCAUAUAUUGUGAAAUAGUUAUCAAAUUGAAUUUAUGUAAUGUCCAUCACCUCAUAGAAAUAAAAAAAGAAAGAGAGGAGUUCCUGUCGUGGCACAGUGGUUAACGAAUCUGACUAGGAACCAUGAGGUUGUAGGUUCAAUCCCUGGCCUUGCUCAGUGGGUCGAGGAUCCGGCUUGCCCGUGAGCUGUGGGUGUAGGUUGCAGACGCAGCUCAGAUCCUGCCUUGCUGUGGCUCUGGCAUAGGCGGCCCUGAUUAGACUCCUAGCCUGGGAAUCUCCAUAUGCUGCCCUAGAAAAGG
Molecule: long non-coding RNA, 1865 nt
Filed under: Sus scrofa (pig)
Lineage: Eukaryota; Metazoa; Chordata; Mammalia; Artiodactyla; Suidae
Description: lncRNA (ENSSSCG00050029492.1)
Source: RNAcentral